CCUACGGGUGACAGCAGUGAGGAAUAUUGGUCAAUGGGCGGAAGCCUGAACCAGCCAAGUAGCGUGCAGGAUGACGGCCCUACGGGUUGUAAACUGCUUUUAUACGGGAAUAACGCGCCUUACGUGUAGGGCUUUGCAUGUACCGUAUGAAUAAGGACCGGCUAAUUCCGUGCCAGCAGCCGCGGUAAUACGGAAGGUCCGGGCGUUAUCCGGAUUUAUUGGGUUUAAAGGGAGCGUAGGCCGCAUGUCAAGCGUGCUGUGAAAUGUCCGGGCUCAACCCCGUACUGCCGUUGAAACUGCAUCCCUUGAGUGCGCGAGAAGUAUGCGGAAUGCGUGGUGUAGCGGUGAAAUGCAUAGAUAUCACGCAGAACUCCGAUUGCGAAGGCAGCAUACCGGCGCGCAACUGACGCUCAUGCACGAAAGCGUGGGUAUCGAACAGGAUUAGAUACCCGGGUAGUC
Molecule: ribosomal RNA, 459 nt
Filed under: uncultured bacterium
Lineage: Bacteria
Description: partial 16S ribosomal RNA
Rfam family: Bacterial small subunit ribosomal RNA
Source: RNAcentral